CUGUCCGUCUUCCCUGGACUGACCUAUCCCCGCCCUACCUCCCCACCUAUACUGUCCUCUCCACCUAUCUUUACUCUCCAUCUUCGGUCCGCCUCCCCCUCUCUCCCUAUUUAUUCCAGUUCCCUCUCCCCAUCCCCCUCUCUGAUGAAGGGUCUAGGCCCGAAACGUCAGCUUUUGUGCUCCUUAGAUGCUGUUUGGCCUGCUGUGCUCAUCCAACCUCACAUCGGUCGUUCUCCUCCUGUCCCUGCCUCUAUGCACACACACUGCCAGGCAUAGUCUUCCUCCCUCUGUGUGUGUGUGUGUGUGUCUCUCUCUCGCUCCAGCUCCUAAAACCUAAGAUGCAUCGGAUACACACACACAUCAACAAGCCAUGGGGAAAGAUCAGGAAUUACUGCAAGCUGUCAAAACCGAAGAUGUGGCUGCAGUGCAGAAGCUGUUGCAAAGGCCGAAACAAGGCAAAGCGAAUUGUGAUGUUGGUUCCUGGAAAGCCUCCAUUGUUGGAGGACGAGAAGCCGUAUCCAAUUGAAGCAGCACAGGCUUCUGCGAUGACUGUGGAAACCACUGCUUAUGCCUUGCUUCAAGCGUUGUCAAGGAAUGAUAUUGACUAUGCAACACCGAUUGCGAGGUGGCUAACGAUGUAACAGAACUAUGGUGGUGGAUUUCACUCGACGCAGGACACAAUCAUUGCCUUGGAAGCUUCAUCACGAUACGACAUUGCAUUUCUGAAGAGGGAAGAAGAAAUCAACAUGCAAAUUCAAUUCCAUGGUUUUGGAAGUCCCAUUGAGAACACGAUUCAUUUGCGCCGGCAUAAUGCUCUGACCGAGAAAGAAUUGAGGUAAUUGCAUGACAGUUUGACUGGUUCGUUGAGAGUGAGGAACCUAUGGACUCUCAGACACCAAGAUGGAAUUUAGUUCAAAGAGUGACUUCAAAAUGUUCCGCAAGUUUUAGUGUAAACUGGUGGAGACUUUCGGUGCUUGCAAAAAGGCUCACCUCUCCGUUCAUACCGAAGGAAAAUGGGAGUUUAAAAAACCAUACGAUGAGACUGUUUUGAUGAGGAAUUUAAAGAUUACGAGUCAUGUCCGUUUGACUCACAGUUUGGUACCAUAGGUUGGUACGAUCUUCGUUGGAGAAGGAAAAGGGAUGUUCCAGAUCCAGAAAAUCGUCAAACCAUUUACUACAAAGUCCG
Long non-coding RNA from Stegostoma tigrinum, 1186 nucleotides. RefSeq lists it as uncharacterized. The record is from RefSeq and is a predicted model, not a curated record. The transcript is spliced from 6 exons. Lineage: Eukaryota; Metazoa; Chordata; Chondrichthyes; Orectolobiformes; Stegostomatidae.